CCUACGGGUGGCAGCAGUAGGGAAUAUUGCACAAUGGGGGAAACCCUGAUGCAGCAACGCCGCGUGGGGGAUGAAGGUUUUCGGAAUGUAAACUCCUUUUGUUAGAGAAGAUAAUGACGGUAUCUAACGAAUAAGCACCGGCUAACUCCGUGCCAGCAGCCGCGGUAAUACGGAGGGUGCAAGCGUUACUCGGAAUCACUGGGCGUAAAGAGCGCGUAGGCGGGAGAGCAAGUCAGAUGUGAAAUCCUAUGGCUUAACCAUAGAACUGCAUUUGAAACUGUUAGUCUAGAGUAUGGGAGAGGUAGGUGGAAUUCGUGGUGUAGGGGUAAAAUCCGUAGAGAUUAAGAGGAAUACUCAUGGCGAAGGCGACUUGCUAGAACAUAACUGACGUUGAUGCUCGAAAGCGUGGGGAGCAAACAGGAUUAGAUACCCUAGUAGUC
RNAcentral lists this ribosomal RNA (440 nucleotides) under uncultured bacterium. RNAcentral describes it as "partial 16S ribosomal RNA". It matches the Rfam family "Bacterial small subunit ribosomal RNA", at positions 338 to 795 of the family's 1533-position model. The record is from RNAcentral.